RNAcentral lists this long non-coding RNA (357 nucleotides) under Homo sapiens (human). RNAcentral's name for it is "HSALNT0055921". The record is from RNAcentral. Lineage: Eukaryota; Metazoa; Chordata; Mammalia; Primates; Hominidae.
UUGCACUUCGCCCAACCUAGCAAAGUCACUCCUUGGCUAUUAUUUUUCACUCUAUUGUAAAUAGCAAGAGGCAGAUGAAAAGGUAAAAAAUAUGUUGGUUGGAAGAUACUUAUUCUCGCCUACCUAGGGUAAUCAAGAAUAGACAUCAGCUCCAGAUUUGAACCCUCUGGUGGAAUGCUGAUGAGGGGCUGGCCUGGGUGCAUUGUGCACGAAUGACUCUCUUAAAGCAAAGAUCAAAGUUGCUUUUCUAAAAUGGAACACUAAAAGGUGUGCUUCCUGAGGUUGACUUCAGAUCGAUGUGGAUGUACACUUGGACCAAGUUCUACAUUAGGAACACUUUAAGUGAUUGAUCUAGAG